Molecule: non-coding RNA, 138 nt
Organism: Triticum aestivum (bread wheat)
Lineage: Eukaryota; Viridiplantae; Streptophyta; Magnoliopsida; Poales; Poaceae
Source: Rfam
UGUGUACUCCCUCCGUUCCAAAAUACUUGACUUCCAUUUGUUCAAAAAUGGAUGUACCUAUAUACUAAAACAUGUCUAUAGAUACAUAUAUAUUUUGACAAAUAGAAGGCAUGUAUUGUGCAACGGAGGGAGUAGAAU